This is a non-coding RNA of Podarcis lilfordi (Lilford's wall lizard), 73 nucleotides long. The record is from the annotation of a GenBank genome assembly. NCBI's taxonomy places the organism in Eukaryota, Metazoa, Chordata, Lepidosauria, Squamata, Lacertidae.
CUUUUGGUAGCUCAGUUGGUAGAGGAUGAGACCCUUAAUCUCUGGGUCAUCGGUUUGAGCCCCUUGUUAGAGA